GAUGAACGCUGGCGGCGUGCCUAAUACAUGCAAGUCGAGCGAACAGACGAGGAGCUUGCUCCUCUGACGUUAGCGGCGGACGGGUGAGUAACACGUGGAUAACCUACCUAUAAGACUGGGAUAACUUCGGGAAACCGGAGCUAAUAACGGAUAAUAUAUUGAACCGCAUGGUUCAAUAGUGAAAGACGGUUUUGCUGUCACUUAUAGAUGGAUCCGCGCCGCAUUAGCUAGUUGGUAAGGUAACGGCUUACCAAGGCGACGAUGCGUAGCCGACCUGAGAGGGUGAUCGGCCACACUGGAACUGAGACACGGUCCAGACUCCUACGGGAGGCAGCAGUAGGGAAUCUUCCGCAAUGGGCGAAAGCCUGACGGAGCAACGCCGCGUGAGUGAUGAAGGUCUUCGGAUCUUAAAACUCUGUUAUUAGGGAAGAACAAAUGUGUAAGUAACUAUGCACGUCUUGACGGUACCUAAUCAGAAAGCCACGGCUAACUACGUG
Molecule: ribosomal RNA, 497 nt
Filed under: uncultured bacterium
Lineage: Bacteria
Description: partial 16S ribosomal RNA
Rfam family: Bacterial small subunit ribosomal RNA
Source: RNAcentral